GGGGCUGAUUCUGGAUUCGACGGGAUUUGCGAAACCCAAGGUGCAUGCCGAGGGGCGGUUGGCCUCGUAAAAAGCCGCAAAAAAAUAGUCGCAAACGACGAGACCUACGCUUUAGCAGCUUAAUAACCUGCUUAGAGCCCUCUCUCCCUAGCCUCCGCUCUUAGGACGGGGAUCAAGAGAGGUCAAACCCAAAAGAGAUCGCGCGGAUGCCCUGCCUGGGGUUGAAGCGUUAAAACGAAUCAGGCUAGUCUGGUAGUGGCGUGUCCGUCCGCAGGUGCCAGGCGAAUGUAAAGACUGACUAAGCAUGUAGUACCGAGGAUGUAGGAAUUUCGGACGCGGGUUCAACUCCCGCCAGCUCCACCA
Molecule: transfer-messenger RNA, 363 nt
Filed under: Salmonella enterica
Lineage: Bacteria; Pseudomonadati; Pseudomonadota; Gammaproteobacteria; Enterobacterales; Enterobacteriaceae
Rfam family: transfer-messenger RNA
About the family: Bacterial tmRNA, also known as 10Sa RNA or SsrA, is named for its dual tRNA and mRNA-like properties.
Source: RNAcentral